Molecule: ribosomal RNA, 301 nt
Filed under: uncultured bacterium
Lineage: Bacteria
Description: partial 16S ribosomal RNA
Rfam family: Bacterial small subunit ribosomal RNA
Source: RNAcentral
CAGCAGCCACGGUAAUACGAAGGGUGCAAGCGUUACUCGGAAUUACUGGGCGUAAAGCGUGCGUAGGUGGUGGUUUAAGUCCGUUGUGAAAGCCCUGGGCUCAACCUGGGAAUUGCAGUGGAUACUGGGUCACUAGAGUGUGGUAGAGGAUAGUGGAAUUUUCGGUGUAGCAGUGAAAUGCGUAGAGAUCGGAAGGAACAUCUGUGGCGAAGGCGACUAUCUGGGCCAACACUGACACUGAGGCACGAAAGCGUGGGGAGCAAACAGGAUUAGAUACCCCGGUAGUCCCUGUCUCUUAUAC